RNAcentral lists this ribosomal RNA (206 nucleotides) under uncultured bacterium. Its description in RNAcentral is "partial 16S ribosomal RNA". It matches the Rfam family "Bacterial small subunit ribosomal RNA", at positions 524 to 727 of the family's 1533-position model. The record is from RNAcentral.
GACAGAGGGUGCAAACGUUGUUCGGAAUUACUGGGCGUAAAGCGCGUGUAGGCGGCUGCGCAAGUCGGAUGUGAAAUCCCAUGGCUCAACCAUGGAAGUGCACCCGAAACUGCGUAGCUAGAGUCUCGGAGAGGAAGGCGGAAUGCUUGGUGUAGAGGUGAAAUUCGUAGAUAUCAAGCGGAACACCGGUGGACGGAAGGCGGCCU